Molecule: long non-coding RNA, 186 nt
Organism: Phacochoerus africanus (Common warthog)
Lineage: Eukaryota; Metazoa; Chordata; Mammalia; Artiodactyla; Suidae
Exons: 3
Source: RefSeq, a predicted model, not a curated record
AUAAAAAGCAAGUGGUUCCUGGCCUGCGAUACUCUACUCUAAGGUGUCUGGUUGACGGCAUGUUGGCACCAGCAUUGAAGGAAGUGAUGGACUUCAUCUCCAGGUUCCUAUCCUGAGACCUCAGCAGGAUGUGCCUUGGACAAAGGCUUGGACUCCUGAAUCAUCUGGUGACUUCAAGAUUCUGGU